This 502-nucleotide ribosomal RNA is filed under the name uncultured bacterium. RNAcentral's name for it is "bacterial SSU rRNA". It matches the Rfam family "Bacterial small subunit ribosomal RNA", at positions 28 to 521 of the family's 1533-position model. The record is from RNAcentral.
GACGAACGCUGGCGGCGUGGAUUAGGCAUGCAAGUCGAACGGUGUCAUCCUUUCGGGGGUGAGAGAGUGGCGAACUGGUGAGUAACACGUAGGUUAUCUACCCUCAAGACGGGGACAACCCAGGGAAACUUGGGCUAAUACCGGAUGUGAGCAACUUUUAGUUGUUUGAAAGGUGGCGUAAGCUGUCGCUUGGGGAUGAGCCUGCGUCCUAUUAGUUAGUUGGUGAGGUAACGGCUCACCUAGGCAAUGAUAGGUAGGCGGCCUUAACGGGUGGUCGCCCACACUGGGAUUGAGAUACGGCCCAGACUCCUACGGGAGGCAGCAGUCGAGAAUAGUCUACAAUGGUCGGAAGACUGAUAGUGCGACGCCGCGUGAACGAUGAAUCCCUUCGGGGUGUAAAGUUCUUUUAUAUGUGAGCAGUGCUUCUUAUAUUAACAGUAUGGGGAGAGAGAUAUUAGCAUAUGAAUAAGCAACGGCUAACUCCCGUGCCAGCAGCCGCGGU